Molecule: small RNA, 575 nt
Filed under: Arabidopsis thaliana (thale cress)
Lineage: Eukaryota; Viridiplantae; Streptophyta; Magnoliopsida; Brassicales; Brassicaceae
Description: ATSL205840
Source: RNAcentral
GUGUAGGCUAGGUCUACAUGAAAGACUGCUCUUGUCGGCUCAUACCUAACACGUUAUACCAAGCUCAAUCGAAAAAGACCUCACAAUCACACACAAAUGAUCUUUGGCUUGAAAUAAGGCUAGGCUAAGGGUAUGGGAAACUGCUCUAAAAAUGAGAGACAACUACUUGGAUUAACAGAGGGUGAUGAAGUGAAUAAGAUGAUCCAAGUAUGUAUAUGGUAGCCAUGAGUUCAUAAACAAUGCAUAGACAUGAUAAUUUCAAAUUCAGUUCAGGUUCUAAUAGAUAGGGAAUGGCGUCAGAUAAGCGAGUUUCGAUCAAAGUAGUAUAGUCCAAUUAGAAAUUCAAAGCAGGGUGCGGUCUUACUUCAGAGAUACAAUCGGUUAUGCAACAGAGAACUAACAACCUGGACAUUGAACUUACUUCAUUGAAUCAAAACAUGCUUAUCGGUUUGAAAUCAUUAUUAUCCCCUAUGCAAAUGAGCAAUCCUAAAUGCAAACACUCUAUAUACAAUCCUAAAAUGAUAUGCAAUCUACAUGACACUCUUUUUUUUUUUUUGAAAUAAUUUUCUGAAAAG